GCUUUGAGAAUAAGGAACUAAUUGGCUGCGAACAGUUUCAGUCUAAUGACCUCUUACCAGAAGCUCAACAGUGCAUUAAGGUUUAUACCCGGGGUUGGUUAGAUUAGUUUCAAUUUCAGGUAGUGGGUAUCUAUCCAAUUACUCUCCUCCUCCUCGCUAGGAGUAGAGCACAUGGCAUUCCUUCUGCUACUGGAUGUGCUAAGCAGCAUGCGAGUUGGCAACUUGGGCUGAAAAGCAAAUUAGCAUUAUGCAAACUGCAGGAUUCUGGCACUCACAUUAGGAUCACUGAUCUGGCAAGAAAUCCUGCCAAGCUACCAAGCUUUCCUGAGCCCAGGGAGAGCUGCAAACCCUAAUCCAAGAGACCAGCUGACAAUAACAAAACAAAAAGAGAUUGCGGGGGAGGGGGAACAAAUCUUAAUUGUCUGGGAGGAUACUGGUGGGAGCUUGGAGGUGGAUUUCCUACAGAGACCUGACUCCUGUAUUGCAGUGAAGAAAUACAGAUAGAAAGGGGCAGCUGCUGCAGGAGUGGCAGACGACAGCAGGGCAGUAAUACCUUAAAGCACUUCAGCCGGAUUCAUCAGAAUUCAUCUGUCUUCAGGGCUUUUUUAAGGCAUUCACUGGUCACAUUGUUUUUCUCCUUCGGAGCUUUCACUUUGAUGUGUUGGCUUGGACUGCUGGAGGAAAUGUUGUGGACCAGAAAAGAAGCAUUGCUGUGGUCCAGCUUCACUGUAAACAGCAGGUGCAACAGCUGCUGCAGGAAAGCCACUCGUUUUCCUGCUCUUUCUCGGGGAUGAAAGAGGGGGAUGUAGCAACUUAUUUUUCUGGAAAAUCUGAGACAUAGGAAACAAAAAUAAAGACACAGUUUGAAGUGUUUCCUUUAUUUGU
This 885-nucleotide long non-coding RNA is filed under the name Junco hyemalis (dark-eyed junco). Its description in RNAcentral is "lncRNA (ENSJHYG00000002956.1)". The record is from RNAcentral. Lineage: Eukaryota; Metazoa; Chordata; Aves; Passeriformes; Passerellidae.